AAAGUCGUAACAAGGUUUCCGUAGGUGAACCUGCGGAAGGAUCAUUAGAGAUUGGCUCCGGCCGUUUUCAUAUCCACACACACCGUGAAUCGUUCCCAUGUCCCUCGGGGCGCGGGACUACCAACCAAACAUUGUCCAAAGAACGUGAAAUGUCGUAAACAAAACAAAACUUUCAACAACGGAUCUCUUGGCUCUC
This 196-nucleotide unclassified non-coding RNA is filed under the name Basidiomycota sp. Its description in RNAcentral is "partial contains small subunit ribosomal RNA, internal transcribed spacer 1, and 5.8S ribosomal RNA". The stretch from base 1 to 47 matches the Rfam family "Eukaryotic small subunit ribosomal RNA", at positions 1785 to 1831 of the family's 1831-position model. The record is from RNAcentral. Lineage: Eukaryota; Fungi; Basidiomycota.